AACCAUAGAAACCUGCGGAGUACCUGCGGAAGGAUCAUUAACAAUUGUCCAUAGUGGAUAAUUUAUCCAUAUCCACCUUGUGUGAAUCAUUGGAAUGUUUGUUGGCAGGUUUUAGACUCUCUCUGAGAGAGCUGUGGGUUGGUAUUGUUCUUUCAAUGCUUGACCGGCCUGCCAAUUUUAUUUUAUAUGUAAACUUGUCUAAAAUACUUUUGGCCUGAAAUAAACAAAUUUGUAAUAAAU
Molecule: unclassified non-coding RNA, 240 nt
Filed under: soil metagenome
Description: partial contains 5.8S ribosomal RNA, internal transcribed spacer 2, and large subunit ribosomal RNA
Source: RNAcentral